GAUGAACGCUAGCGGCAGUCCUAACACAUGCAAGUCGAGGGAUAAGCCUUCGGGCUAAGACCGGCGCACGGGUGCGUAACGCGUAUACAAUCUGCCUUUUAUCCGGGGGAUAGCCCGAAGAAAUUUGGAUUAAUACCCUAUGGUAUAAGAGCACGGCAUCGUGCACUUAUUAAAGCUACGGCGGUAAAAGAUGAGUAUGCGUUCUAUUAGCUAGUUGGAGAGGUAACGGCUCCCCAAGGCGACGAUAGAUAGGGGUUCUGAGAGGGAUGUCCCCCACACUGGUACUGAGAUACGGACCAGACUCCUACGGGAGGCAGCAGUGAGGAAUAUUGGACAAUGGUCGGAAGACUGAUCCAGCCAUGCCGCGUGCAGGAUGACGGCCUUAUGGGUUGUAAACUGCUUUUGUAAGGGAAGAAUAAGGAGUACGUGUACUUUGAUGACGGUACCUUACGAAUAAGCAUCGGCUAACUCCGUG
This 475-nucleotide ribosomal RNA is filed under the name uncultured bacterium. RNAcentral describes it as "partial 16S ribosomal RNA". It matches the Rfam family "Bacterial small subunit ribosomal RNA", at positions 28 to 507 of the family's 1533-position model. The record is from RNAcentral.